CCUACGGGUGGCAGCAGUGGGGAAUAUUGGACAAUGGGGGCAACCCUGAUCCAGCCAUGCCGCGUGUGUGAAGAAGGCCCUCGGGUUGUAAAGCACUUUCAGUGAGGAAGAACGCCUGGUGGUUAAUACCCAUCAGGAAAGACAUCACUCACAGAAGAAGCACCGGCUAACUCCGUGCCAGCAGCCGCGGUAAUACGGAGGGUGCGAGCGUUAAUCGGAAUUACUGGGCGUAAAGGGCGCGUAGGUGGCUUGAUAAGCCGGUUGUGAAAGCCCCGGGCUCAACCUGGGAACGGCAUCCGGAACUGUCAAGCUAGAGUGCAGGAGAGGAAGGUAGAAUUCCCGGUGUAGCGGUGAAAUGCGUAGAGAUCGGGAGGAAUACCGGUGGCGAAGGCGGCCUUCUGGACUGACACUGACACUGAGGUGCGAAAGCGUGGGUAGCAAACAGGAUUAGAUACCCCGGUAGUC
RNAcentral lists this ribosomal RNA (465 nucleotides) under Vreelandella stevensii. Its description in RNAcentral is "partial 16S ribosomal RNA". It matches the Rfam family "Bacterial small subunit ribosomal RNA", at positions 338 to 795 of the family's 1533-position model. Lineage: Bacteria; Pseudomonadati; Pseudomonadota; Gammaproteobacteria; Oceanospirillales; Halomonadaceae. The record is from RNAcentral.